UCCUUUUCCUUGGCCGCUUUCUUUCGCCCGAGAUGUCGGCGCUGCGGCCUGCGUGGGGAUCCGUUGCCAUCCUCGGCAGGGCUGGCUUGGGAGGCGCCGUGGGGCCUCCACUCUUGUCCGCAAGUGCCUUCCAGUCCCGUGGGCCGACGUGUCCCACUCCCUCUCCGGUUGGGAGAACCGUUUGCAGGCCCAGACUGGCUUCCUUGCUUCUUCGCAGGUUAGUGUAGGACAGGAAGAGGCGAGGAAACAUGGCGCUGCUUCGUUCUGGCCUCGAGGAAGGCCUCGCGGCUGCAUGUGCCUCUGACUGAUGCAGACAUCAUGGAGACGUAACUAUUAAGAUGCAAACACAGCAGAAUCCUUUUACCAUGAAGAUGAAGUCUCUGUCAACCACAUAUUUCUGAUUUUCAUCAGUGGCUGCAUGCGCAUCCGACAAUCAUACUGUCACAGGGAGGCAUGAAGAUACAACUAUUAAGAUGCAAACACGGCAUAAUCCUUUUAACAGGAAGAUGAAGUCUCUGGCAGCCAAAUAUUUCUGAUUUGUUUACACAGUGUCCUUGCUUAGAGGUGGAAAGAGACAUGGACAGGAAGUAGACCAACAUCGUGAGGCGUCACUUCCUACACAGCAGUGGAAUACUGGAGGGAUUUCUGUUUCUCUUGUCAAACAGCAUCUCCAAGGAAUUGGAAGAUUGCAAAUUGCUCAUCCAUUCUCCAGUGUUCAUUUUAACCAGAAGGACAUGCAAGUAUGGAGCAAUUCCAAGUCAGUUUCUCAACUGGAUUUAACAAUAAAGCAAAGUAAUAAAAA
Molecule: long non-coding RNA, 802 nt
Organism: Anolis sagrei ordinatus
Lineage: Eukaryota; Metazoa; Chordata; Lepidosauria; Squamata; Anolidae
Source: RefSeq, a predicted model, not a curated record